RNAcentral lists this ribosomal RNA (253 nucleotides) under uncultured bacterium. Its description in RNAcentral is "partial 16S ribosomal RNA". It matches the Rfam family "Bacterial small subunit ribosomal RNA", at positions 524 to 776 of the family's 1533-position model. The record is from RNAcentral.
UACGAAGGGGGCUAGCGUUGUUCGGAGUUACUGGGCGUAAAGGGCGCGUAGGCGGCCCUCCAAGUCGGGCGUGAAAGCCCACGGCUCAACCGUGGAAUUGCGCUCGAGACUGAAGGGCUCGAGGACGGGAGAGGAUGGUGGAAUUCCCAGUGUAGAGGUGAAAUUCGUAGAUAUCGGGAGGAACACCGGCGGCGAAGGCGGCGAUCUGGGUCGAUACUGACGCUGAGGUGCGAAAGCGUGGGGAGCAAACAGG